CCCUAUGAAUUUAUUAAAUUUUUAUUUAAUAUGUAAUUACUAUUAGAAAAAUUUGGCUGGGGCGCUAGAAAAUAUUAUAAACUUUUUAAAAAUAAAAUGAUCCAUUAUUGAAGAUUUUAUGUUAAAUACUCUAGGGAUAACAGCGUUAUAUUUUUUGAUAGAUCAUAUUGACAAAAAAGUUUGCGACCUCGAUGUUGGACU
RNAcentral lists this ribosomal RNA (201 nucleotides) under Rhipicephalus sanguineus (brown dog tick). RNAcentral describes it as "partial large subunit ribosomal RNA". The record is from RNAcentral. Lineage: Eukaryota; Metazoa; Arthropoda; Arachnida; Ixodida; Ixodidae.